Molecule: ribosomal RNA, 497 nt
Filed under: uncultured bacterium
Lineage: Bacteria
Description: partial 16S ribosomal RNA
Rfam family: Bacterial small subunit ribosomal RNA
Source: RNAcentral
GAUGAACGCUGGCGGCGUGCCUAAUACAUGCAAGUCGAGCGAACAGACGAGGAGCUUGCUCCUCUGACGUUAGCGGCGGACGGGUGAGUAACACGUGGAUAACCUACCUAUAAGACUGGGAUAACUUUGGGAAACCGGAGCUAAUACCGGAUAAUAUAUAGAACCGCAUGGUUCAAUAGUGAAAGGCGGUUUUGCUGUCACUUAUAGAUGGAUCCGCGCCGCAUUAGCUAGUUGGUAAGGUAACGGCUUACCAAGGCGACGAUGCGUAGCCGACCUGAGAGGGUGAUCGGCCACACUGGAACUGAGACACGGUCCAGACUCCUACGGGAGGCAGCAGUAGGGAAUCUUCCGCAAUGGGCGAAAGCCUGACGGAGCAACGCCGCGUGAGUGAUGAAGGUCUUCGGAUCGUAAAACUCUGUUAUUAGGGAAGAACAAAUGUGUAAGUAACUAUGCACGUCUUGACGGUACCUAAUCAGAAAGCCACGGCUAACUACGUG